UUAGAUACCCUGGUAGUCCACACAGUAAACGAUGAAUACUCGCUGUUUGCGAUAUACGGCAAGCGGCCAAGCGAAAGCAUUAAGUAUUCCACCUGGGGAGUACGCCGGCAACGGUGAAACUCAAAGGAAUUGACGGGGGCCCGCACAAGCGGAGGAACAUGUGGUUUAAUUCGAUGAUACGCGAGGAACCUUACCCGGGCUUAAAUUGCACCUGAAUAACGUGGAAACAUGUUAGCCGCAAGGCAGGUGUGAAGGUGCUGCAUGGUUGUCGUCAGCUCGUGCCGUGAGGUGUCGGCUUAAGUGCCAUAACGAGCGCAACCCUUAUCUUCAGUUACUAACAGGUCAUGCUGAGGACUCUGGAGAGACUGCCGUCGUAAGAUGUGAGGAAGGUGGGGAUGACGUCAAAUCAGCACGGCCCUUACGUCCGGGGCUACACACGUGUUACAAUGGGGGGUACAGAAGGCCGCUACCUGGUGACAGGAUGCUAAUCCCAAAAACCUCUCUCAGUUCGGAUCGAAGUCUGCAACCCGACUUCGUGAAGCUGGAUUCGCUAGUAAUCGCGCAUCAGCCAUGGGCGCGGUGAAUACGUUCCCGGGCCUUGUACACACCGNCCGUCAAGCCAUGAAAGCCCGGGGGUACCUGAAGUACGUAACCGCAAGGAGCGUCCUAAGGUAAAACUGUAA
RNAcentral lists this ribosomal RNA (683 nucleotides) under uncultured bacterium. RNAcentral's name for it is "bacterial SSU rRNA". It matches the Rfam family "Bacterial small subunit ribosomal RNA", at positions 778 to 1474 of the family's 1533-position model. The record is from RNAcentral.